Macaca mulatta (Rhesus monkey) is the source of this 1825-nucleotide non-coding RNA. Lineage: Eukaryota; Metazoa; Chordata; Mammalia; Primates; Cercopithecidae. The record is from RefSeq and is a predicted model, not a curated record.
AUAACUGCAUCAAGGAUUAAGUGCUUUUUAAAUUUAAGCUCUUGAUACAUCCAGCAAAUUGCUUUUGGAGACAUCGGGCCUGGUGGUCCCCCACUGAUGGGCAUUCUGUGCUCAUGUUUCUGUUGCCUCACAGGCACUGUGUUGAGGAGUGUUUGUGUUAAUCCUAUUUGAUAUGCUUUGUUAUUCUUUUAAUUUUCAGAGAAUUCACGGCUGGGACCAGCUAGUCCAUGGCUCCACCUUCUUGGGAGCAGAUUAGAUCCGCUUUCAAGCCAGUGAGGUGAUCUGAGUCCCAGCAGCCUCAUCUGCCAAGUCAACCCCUGCACUGCAUUGAGAAAGCUGCGGUCAGAGAUUCAGAGUGAAGACAAGCGCUGUCCCACGCCAGAGCCCAAACCUGUCCCCGGGUUGGGAAGCUGAGGAGUGAUUAUUUGGUUCUCGGAUGCUUUGAGGGUGCCUCAUGUGGUAUGCGAUCAGUGCACACAUCCCAGAUUCCUGCUUUUGAGUAAUGAAGGCGACCAAACCACGUGACCCUGCCUGCAAAGAUCCCACCUGGACUCCCGGUUCCUCCAAGGAGCCAUCGUGUGGUUCAAAUCCAUCAGAAAUUCUCCAAAUCUCCACCCUCCUCAGGGUGCAGAGUUGGCUGCUUUUCUGUGUCCCCUGCUGAUCACCGCAACCACUGGGCGCCUUGGCCUGCGAAGCCUCAGCUGUCCUCCGUCUGCAGACGAGCCAAGGAGCAGUUGCCUCUGGGGUGCCACAGUUGCCCAGAAUCCCUGGCAGCCACCUGUUCAAAGAAUCUUGAAGCAAUCAGAUGGUUGAUGCAGAAGAAGGUUCGUGAAUUCCGGAUUUAGCUUUGAAUGCUUCAGCCGGCCUGGAAUUUGUCUGUAUUUGUCUGCCUGCUGCCUCAUGGUGGCCCAUUUUAUUUCCUCUACCUGAAGGACAAGUGGAUACCUCUGAGCAAUCUGGGGGAAGAGAAUCAUGGUUUCCAUUAAACCCAGCCUGGGGUUUGAAAACUCUGGGCAAGGGAAGGUGAUGAAGAGGCUGCUGGUUUACAGACUGUACAUUGAGAAGCAAGGUCUUAAGAUAUACUGACCUUGAGCUUUCCCAACAAUCCUUGAAAAGAGAGGGUUCUGCGAAGGGAAGCAACCUGUCAGGUAAGGGACCUCUUCAGUUACCCUACAUUGUCAAGUGAGUGAUGUCCUUAGGUAAGUACCCUCCCUAGGGUCACACGAGUAGGUACAUGGUAGAGCCAGGAUUUGAACACCCAUAUCCCCCAUUCCAAAACUCCCAUUAUUCUCAAAUCUGCUAUAACUGCAACCACAUGGGUGAUUUCUCUAACAUUUUUCUUAAAGUGUGUUUUGCAUCAUUAUCUUAUUAGGUAAAAAUUGAUUAACAAGAUGACUUCUCUUCUCCCAAUCACCAGACUAUAAAAAUUGCUUUUGUGUUAAACUGUUCUGAUGGGAUUGUGGGAAGUAAGUGAAUGUGAAAAUUCCUUGGAAGGAUGGCAGAUAAUGAGCAUCUAUCACACAAGCUCUUACUGUCUGUAGCUCAGCACAAGCCAAAGACGUUUUACAGUGGCCUAAAAUUGCAGUCAUUUUUACCAUAAAAAUUUGUCACUGCAAGAGUAACACAGUCUUGACGGGUCUGCUAUUACCUUGAUAAACAUUUUCCACCGGGCGAAACUCUGAGCGCCUGUUCUCACUUGCACACUGACACUGUGCUCAACAAAGCUGUAGUAUGUCUGGCUCCUGCCUUCUUCACCCUUGGACACGACCAUGUAGAGAAAAAUUCCAAUUUAGGAUGCGUCUCUCCUGGUCAUGCUUUAGAAAAC